CGCCGUGUCGAUCAUCCGGUGAGCCCCCAAGGUGUAUAAGACCCUCCCCACCCCGUAGACGAACCCUAGCUCCAUUCCCCUCGCUCUCUCGCCCACCAUCGUCGAUUUGGACGCGCCCGAGUACCCAACCGCCAUGGUCGUCGUCUUAGCCACGGCCACCGCACUCCCCGCCGGCUUGGAGCUUGUGCAGCAGCUCCAUCGCGGUCGUCUGCAUCUUCUACUCCGCCGUAUCGAGGCCGGGGGCCAUCACCGGCGACGCUCGCGCCUUCUUCCUCCGCCAUGGCCGUCCGACGCCGUCGUUCGAUCCGCACCAUCCCGGCAACCUCCGGCCUCCCCGACCUCGCCAUUGAGCUCGCAGUGAGCUCCUCUCUCAAUUCCCCUGCUUUUCCCCUUCGAUUUGUCAUUGUAUGCGUCGCCCCACGAGGACCAAUCGCCAUGGCCGGAGUUGGCCCGCCCGUGCCCCUAGUCGUGCUCGCGCGCCUCCGCGUCCGCCCGUGUGCGCUUGGCCUCGCCCCCGUGCGUCCCCUGGUCGCCUUGCCCCUGCGUGCGUUAGCUCCGGCCGCGCACAACGCGUGCCCGCGGCUGUUGUCCCCACUCGCUGCCGCCCAUUGCUGCGGCUGCUCUGUGCUGAAGCCGCCCAUUGCUAUUGCCGCUGCUCUCUGCUACCAUUUGAUGCUCAUCUGCUCUUGCUUCCUACUGCUGGUGUAUCUCUGCUAGUUGUCGGUGCUGCUGCUCCGUGCUUAUACCACUGCUAGCGCUGCUCGAUUGCUCGUGCUACUGCAGUCGGCUAUCUCCGGGUACGGCUGCUACUGGCUAGCGCCGGCCAUGGCCAAGUGUGCGUGUGUGUUAUGCGUGUGUGGGUCGUAUGUGUGUGGUGUGUGUGGCUGGUUAUGCCACAGCCGUGUGUGGCCGGCCCUUGUUUAACUAGUAUAGCUUAGGAUUAAAAUUAGUGCUAAGUUAGUCUAAUAGUAGAUGACAUGUGGGACCACCCUGGUUAAUUACCAUUUUAUUAAAACUAAAGACAAUGACAUGUGAGACCCACUUACACUAUUCUUAUGUUGACCAGUCAACCUUUGACCGGGUCAGCCUAACCCCACUGGCCCCACUGUCAUACUCACAUGCUAGGAUAGCACUAGGUAACAAAAGUAUAUUAUGUUUUUAAUUCGAAUUAUUAUAAAUCCAGAAAUUCCAGAAAUUAUUUAAACCUUUAAAAAUUAAUAUAAAAUAAUUCGUAGCUCGGAGGAAAAUAUUUUGUACAUGAAAGUUGAUCAAAACGACGAGAUGAAUCCGAAUACGCAUUCCGUUCAUCCGCCACACGUCCCUAGCAUAGCGAACAUGUAACUUUCCCCUUCGGUCCGUCAGUCCGAAAACGCGAAACACCGGGAACACUUUCUCGAAUGUUUCUCCCCUUCGUCGGUAGCACCUACUACUUUGUUAGGUUACCUCUAGCACCACGUAAUGCCAUGUUACACUUUGUGAUGCUUUGAUUGCUCUGUUAUUUAUUGUGUUUCCUCUCCGUUACUUCUUUCCGGUAGACCCCGAGACUGCCGGCGACCUUCAGUUCGACUACGGUGUUGACGACCCCUCUUUCUUGUCAGGGCAACCAGGCAAGCCCGCUCCCCCCUGAUCACCAGAUAUCGCCUAUUCUUCUUUAUACUGCUUGCAUUAGAGUAGUGUAGCAUAUUACUGCUUUCAGUUAAUCCUAUAUUGUUGCAUAGCCUGUCCUUGCUACUACUGUUGUUACCUUUAUUUGCUAUCCUAUUGCUUAGUAUGGGAUGCUAGUGUUCCAUCAGUGGCCCUACACUCUUGUCCGUCUUUCAUGCUAUACUACUGGGCCGUGACCACUUUGGAAGGUGAUCACAGGCAUAUACUAUAUACUUUACACUGUUACAUUACCUGUGAUGCUGUUCGGAGAUGGGGGCUGAAGGGGCAGGUGGUUCCACCCAGGUAGUGGUGGGCCUGGGUUCCCGACGGCCACCGAUUGUUACUUUAUGGCGGAGCGACAGGGCAGGUUGAGACCACCUAGAAGAGAGGUGGGCCUGGCCCUGGUCGGCGUUCGCGGAUACUUAACACGUUUAAUGAGAUCUUAGUAUGUGAUCUAAGUCUGGCCACUGGCCUACGCGCACUAAUCAUCUACGCGGGGACAGUUAUGGGCACUCGACGUCGUGGUAUCAGCCGAAGCCUUCGUGACGUCAGCAACUGAGCGGCGCGCGCCGGGUUGGACCGCGUAACGCAACUUCCUUUGUAAUGGAGGUUGCUAGGUCUGCUCACCGGCCGCGUUCGUAACGUGUAGGUGUGCAACAGGCGAUGGGUCCAGACCCCUGCGCUAUAGGAUUUAGACCGGCGUGCUGGCCUCUUAUUGUGCCUAGAUAGGGUUGCGACGUGUUGAUCUUCCGAGGCCGGGCAUGAUCCAGGAAAGUGUGUCCGGACAAAGGGGAUCGAGCGUGUUGGGAAAUAUGGUGCACCCCUGCAAGGAAGUUAAUCUAUUCGAAUAGCCGUGAUCUUUGGUAACAGGACGACUUGGAGUUGUACAUUGAUCUUAUGAUAACUAGAAUCGAUUACUUAAUAAAACACACUCUUCCAAGUGCUAGAUACAACCCGGUGUUCGCUCUCUAACAGGGCGACGAGGGGAGGAUCACCGGGUAGGAUUAUGCUAUGAGAUGAUACUUGGUGAACUUACCAUCUACUCUCUUCUACAUGCUGCAAGAUGGAGGUUGUCAGAAGUGUAGUCUUCGACAGGACUAGCUAUCCCCCUCUUAUUCUGGCAUUCUGCAGUUCAGUCCAUAUAUGUUACCCCUUUUCCAUUUGAUACCAAUGCAUACAUAUGUAGUGUAGCUCCUUGCUUGCGAGUACUUUGGAUGAGUACUCACGAUUGCUUUGCUUCCUCUUUUUUCCCUUUCUAUACCCGAUUGCUGCGACCAGACAAUGGAGCUCCGGAGCCAGACACCACCGCUGACGACGACUCCUACUACAUUGGAGGAGCCUACUACUACGAGUAGGCUGCUGACUACGACCAGUACUAGUUUAGGAGGAUCCCAGGCAGGAGGCCUGUGCCUCUUUCGAUCUGUAUCCUAGUUUGUGCUAGCCUUCUUAAGGCAAACUUGUUUAACUUAUGUCUGUAUUCAGAUAUUGUUGCUUUCGCUGACUCGUCUAUGAUCGAGCUCUUGUAUUCGAACCUUCGAGGCCCCUGGAUUGUAAUAUGAGGCUUGUAUGACUUAUUUUAUUUAUAGAGUUGUGUUGUGAUAUCUUCCCAUAAGUCCCUGAUCUUGAUCAUACAUGUUUGCGUGUAUGAUUAGUGUACGGUCAAAUCGGGGGCGUCACAUAAAUGAAUAACUGUAUUGCAAUAAAC
This 3349-nucleotide long non-coding RNA is filed under the name Triticum aestivum (bread wheat). Its description in RNAcentral is "long non-coding RNA (TAES_LNC005499)". Lineage: Eukaryota; Viridiplantae; Streptophyta; Magnoliopsida; Poales; Poaceae. The record is from RNAcentral.